AAUACAUUUUUUGUGCUAAUUUUUAUGUGAUUAAGAUUUAAUUGAUUUCGUAUAUAAAAUAUUAAAUUGUUUUACGAACUUAUUUGUUUAUAAUUUGGUAACAGAUAGAUAUUUGAAUAUUCAGAUCUUUGAUGACCCGUCUUUAGAUCCAAUAAACCCUAUAAUCUAGUUAUUAACCUGCAGUAUACCGCAGGUAGGCUUAUACUUUAGUUAAACUAAAAACUUUUAUUGUAAAGAUGAUUUAAAUAUAUAUGAUAUUAUUUUAUUUGAUUUUAAAUGUAUAGUAAACUGUGAGUUGUAUAUGUUUUGUUGAUAUUAUCUAUAUUGUUUAGUGUUUAAGAUUAUACACUUGUAGUUUGGUUGUUAAUUUAAGAGUUUCACCUGUAGUAUAUCAUCUUGUAUUAAUAUCGAUCUAAAUCCGUCCAUUUUACGAUUUUCCAGCUUGUAUUAAAAAUUGAAUCACAUCUAAUAUGUUAUUAAUUACUGUAGUAUAUAAGAUUAUAAAUUUUCAAUAUAAUAUGUGUGAAAUUGAAUAGAACUAUUUCAAAUUAUGAUUCGUUACUCAGUAGAAAGUUUUCUUAAAUCUAUUUUUCUCCCGUUAUAAUAUUUUUUCAUGUAUUGAACAGUUUAUAUUCGUUUUUAAAAAUUUAAAUUAUGGCAUAUGCGAAAAAAACUCUAAUUAUUUG
Molecule: small RNA, 686 nt
Filed under: Arabidopsis thaliana (thale cress)
Lineage: Eukaryota; Viridiplantae; Streptophyta; Magnoliopsida; Brassicales; Brassicaceae
Description: ATSL114250
Source: RNAcentral